UUGCGACUUUCCAAACAUUCGGAGGUGGUAGUCUAUUUCUUCUAGAAAACUUUGGGGGUUUCUCUGAAAGUGCAGAAAUCCCUACAAGACUCGAAAGAAGAGAACAAGCUACACUUAGCAGCAGUGAAGCAGAGCACCCAAUAAUCUGGCACAUGAAUAAAGCUCUGGAAUGGCUCCAUUCCAACAGCCAUCUGUUCAAGGGUCCAGUGGAGGAGCCUCUUUUCAUCCGAAUGGAUGAAGCUCAGAAGGAAAAAGCCCUCAACAAUCUCCGGGAAGAGACGGAAGAUUCAAAAGAGCCCUUUGUGUUUCAGUUUGAGCUCAGGGAUGACAUGGAGGUUUUUUUGCAAGAAUGCCAUAACAAAAUGGGCCUCAGAGUAAAUUCUGCAUUUGACAUAUUUUGAAGUUUAUUUACAUUUUUCUUUCUUUUAAAAUGAUUAAAAGAAUCGUUGGCUUCUUUUUUUUUCAAUUUCAUUUUUUUUAUAUUUUUGAAAUAAAAAAAUGCAUGCUGCACAUAUGUUCUUGAAAAAAUAAAGGAUGUUUUAUAUAAAAACCCAACAUAAGUUUCAAGCAUUACUUUUUUCAACAGCAUGAUCAGGAAGGAACUCUCAAAAUACAAUGAAACGGAUAACUAUACAAUUAUAUUACACAAGAUUCAUGUUUUAAAAUGCUUAUUUUACUGUAACCAUACCUUAAUGCAUCAUUAUAACAAAGUAUGACGUUUCGUGUGUAAUAAAAGCUCCAAAACCUUAAGUGGCGCUAC
Carassius carassius (crucian carp) is the source of this 760-nucleotide long non-coding RNA. RefSeq lists it as uncharacterized. The record is from RefSeq and is a predicted model, not a curated record. Lineage: Eukaryota; Metazoa; Chordata; Actinopteri; Cypriniformes; Cyprinidae. The transcript is spliced from 3 exons.